RNAcentral lists this ribosomal RNA (979 nucleotides) under uncultured bacterium. RNAcentral's name for it is "bacterial SSU rRNA". It matches the Rfam family "Bacterial small subunit ribosomal RNA", at positions 515 to 1496 of the family's 1533-position model. The record is from RNAcentral.
CCGCGGUGAUACGUAUGGGGCGAGCGUUGUUCGGAAUUAUUGGGCGUAAAGGGCGUCUAGGCGGGGAAUUAAGUUAGUUGUGAAAUCCAUGGGCUCAACCCGUGAACUGCAUCUAAAACUGAUUCUCUUGAGUUCGGGAGAGGAGAGCGGAAUUCCCGGUGUAGCGGUGAAAUGCGUAGAUAUCGGGAAGAACACCAGUGGCGAAGGCGGCUCUCUGGCCUAGAACUGACGCUGAAGCGCGAAAGCGUGGGGAGCGAACGGGAUUAGAUACCCCGGUAGUCCACGCCGUAAACGUUGUGUACUAGGUGUUAGUGACUUGUUCACUAGUGCCGACGCUAACGCAUUAAGUACACCGCCUGGGGAGUACGGCCGCAAGGCUUAAACUCAAAGAAAUUGGCGGGGGCCCGCACAAGCGGUGGAGCACGUGGUUUAAUUCGAAGAUACGCGAAGAACCUUACCUGGGCUUGAACUGCAUUUGACAGGUGUAGAGAUACACCCUCCUUCGGGCAGAUGCAGAGGUGCUGCAUGGUUGUCGUCAGCUCGUGUCGUGAGAUGUUGGGUUAAGUCCCGCAACGAGCGCAACCCUUACCCCUUGUUGCCAUCAGGUAGUGCUGAGCACUCUAGGGGAACUGCCGGUGAUAAACCGGAGGAAGGUGGGGAUGACGUCAAAUCAUCACGGCCCUUAUGUCCAGGGCUACACACGUGCUACAAUGGCCGGUACAAUGAGCUGCAAUACCGCGAGGUGGAGCUAAUCUCAAAAAACCGGUCUCAGUUCGGAUUGCAGUCUGCAACUCGACUGCAUGAAGCUGGAAUCGCUAGUAAUCGUGGAUCAGCACGCCACGGUGAAUACGUUCCCGGGCCUUGUACACACCGCCCGUCACACCACCCGAGUUGGCAGCGCCCGAAGUGGCUGAUCUAACCGUUUACGGAGGAAGGUUACUAAGGUGAAGCUGGUAAGGGGGGUGAAGUCGUAACAAGG